This 204-nucleotide long non-coding RNA is filed under the name Canis lupus familiaris (dog). RNAcentral describes it as "lncRNA (ENSCAFG00000050408.1)". Lineage: Eukaryota; Metazoa; Chordata; Mammalia; Carnivora; Canidae. The record is from RNAcentral.
AUGAUGCCCCUGAGGAUAAAGUGCAUUGGGCAUGGCUUCUUAGGAACAGAGCAGAGGAGCAAGGCAUGCCUAUUGCCAAGGUGGCAUCACAAACUAGUGAAAGCGAUAACAAACUGGAUGUUGGAGGUGACAAGAGAAGGGAAAUGAGAAAUUAAUGAUUAAGAGAAAGAAGUGGAAGUGAAGGAGGAGGGAGUAGAAGGAGGU